RNAcentral lists this ribosomal RNA (255 nucleotides) under uncultured bacterium. RNAcentral describes it as "partial 16S ribosomal RNA". It matches the Rfam family "Bacterial small subunit ribosomal RNA", at positions 524 to 777 of the family's 1533-position model. The record is from RNAcentral.
UACGGAGGGUGCGAGCGUUGUCCGGAAUCACUGGGCGUAAAGGGCGCGUAGGCGGCGCGGGAAGUCAUCGGUGAAAGUUCAGGGCUCAACUCUGAAUCGGCCGGUGAUACUCUCGUGCUUGAGCACUGUAGAGGCAGGUGGAAUUCCGGGUGUAGCGGUGGAAUGCGUAGAGAUCCGGAAGAACACCGGUGGCGAAGGCGGUCUGCUGGGCAGUUGCUGGACACUGAGGCGCGACAGCGUGGGGAGCAAACAGGG